CGACGGUUCGCCGCCCGGCGUCUACUGUCGGCUUCCGAACAGCCCGCCGGCUCGCGCGGGGUGCUCUUCAUCGAGUGUCCCGAGUGGCCGGCACGUUUACUUUGAAAAAAUUAGAGUGCUCAAAGCAGGCCCAGCCGCCUGAAUAUUCGUGCAUGGAAUAAUGGAAUAGGACCUCGGUUCUAUUUUGUUGGUUUUCGGAACUCGAGGUAAUGAUUAAUAGGGACAGACGGGGGCAUUCGUAUUGCGACGUUAGAGGUGAAAUUCUUGGAUCGUCGCAAGACGAACUACUGCGAAAGCAUUUGCCAAGAAUGUUUUCAUUAAUCAAGAACGAAAGUUAGAGGUUCGAAGGCGAUCAGAUACCGCCCUAGUUCUAACCAUAAACGAUGCUGACUAGCGAUCCGCCGGCGUUAUUCCCAUGACUCGGCGGGCAGCUUCCGGGAAACCAAAGUCUUUGAGUUCCGGGGGAAGUAUGGUUGCAAAGCUGAAACUUAAAGGAAUUGACGGAAGGGCACCACCAGGAGUGGAGCCUGCGGCUUAAUUUGACUCAACACGGGGAACCUCACCAGGCCCGGACACCGGAAGGAUUGACAGAUUGAGAGCUCUUUCUUGAUUCGGUGGGUGGUGGUGCAUGGCCGU
RNAcentral lists this ribosomal RNA (636 nucleotides) under Gonodactylaceus falcatus. Its description in RNAcentral is "SSU rRNA". It matches the Rfam family "Eukaryotic small subunit ribosomal RNA", at positions 728 to 1291 of the family's 1831-position model. The record is from RNAcentral. Lineage: Eukaryota; Metazoa; Arthropoda; Malacostraca; Stomatopoda; Gonodactylidae.